GAAGUAAAAGUCGUAACAAGGUCUCCGUUGGUGAACCAGCGGAGGGAUCAUUACCGAGUUUACAACUCCCAAACCCCUGUGAACAUACCACUUGUUGCCUCGGCGGAUCAGCCCGCUCCCGGUAAAACGGGACGGCCCGCCAGAGGACCCCUAAACUCUGUUUCUAUAUGUAACUUCUGAGUAAAACCAUAAAUAAAUCAAAACUUUCAACAACGGAUCUCUUGGUUCUGGCAUCGAUGAAGAACGCAGCAAAAUGCGAUAAGUAAUGUGAAUUGCAGAAUUCAGUGAAUCAUCGAAUCUUUGAACGCACAUUGCGCCCGCCAGUAUUCUGGCGGGCAUGCCUGUUCGAGCGUCAUUUCAACCCUCAAGCACAGCUUGGUGUUGGGACUCGCGUUAAUUCGCGUUCCUCAAAUUGAUUGGCGGUCACGUCGAGCUUCCAUAGCGUAGUAGUAAAACCCUCGUUACUGGUAAUCGUCGCGGCCACGCCGUUAAACCCCAACUUCUGAAUGUUGACCUCGGAUCAGGUAGGAAUACCCGCUGAACUUAAGCAUAUCAAUAAGCGGAGGA
Molecule: ribosomal RNA, 567 nt
Filed under: Fusarium oxysporum
Lineage: Eukaryota; Fungi; Ascomycota; Sordariomycetes; Hypocreales; Nectriaceae
Description: eukaryotic LSU rRNA
Rfam family: 5.8S ribosomal RNA (bases 202-355)
Source: RNAcentral